Molecule: long non-coding RNA, 1777 nt
Filed under: Jatropha curcas
Lineage: Eukaryota; Viridiplantae; Streptophyta; Magnoliopsida; Malpighiales; Euphorbiaceae
Description: long non-coding RNA (JCUR_LNC002532)
Source: RNAcentral
UUUUACAAGCUUCAGUCAUAUGGAGCAUGUGCAAUGCAGAAAACCAAAUGAUUUCUGUAGAAAGAAUUCUUCAGUACUCAAAUAUAACAAGUGAAGCACCCCUUGUGGUUGAAGAGUGCAGACCUUCAGACAACUGGCCAGAAGUAGGAACAAUAUCCUUUAAAGAUUUGGAGGUAAGAACCUUCUGGAAGGUUUUAGCAGUUUAAAGAGAGAAUUAGUUCGGAAACUGUGAUUUCUAGUCUAAAGAGUCAAGAAAUUCCAAUUAAAUCAUCAAAAUUUGAAAUUUUGCCUUAGCGGGCGUUAAUAAAUUCCCACUUCCACAACAAAACACCUAGCCAAAAGUAUUAGGACUUUCAACAGAGCCCCUCACCAAUCACGGAAAGGCUCUGAUCAAGUUCAUCAAAUAUUUGCUCUCAUAAGUCACGCGUAGCAUCUUUUGCAGGCAUCUACAGACCAAAGUGUUCUAGACUUGGAAAUGGCACACAGACUAGGUUGGUGUGCUUUCUCAGUAAUACAGAUUCUAGGGACCAUAGCAGUAAUGUCCCAGGUUGCAUGGGAAGUAUUUGUAAUCUUCAUUCCAGUAUCUGCAAUCUGCAUAUGGUACCAAGUAAGCAUUUCUUUUCCCUUUGAUAAAUGAUAUAUCCAGAGCUGAUUACUCAAUUGCAUAUUGACAGUAAACUUUUUCUUACUAUUACCACAUUUUUAUCUGCAAUUCAUUAUGGAAAAUGAAAUUCUUGAUGGAAAAGAAAAGAGUUUCCUAUUAUUUAUGCAAUAUGAAAAGCAUGGAAACUGUAUGCCACGAGAAGAAAUUUAGUUAAGCUAAUGAUCAUAUGGCCUUCAGAGUUUUUGCUCAUUCUGGAAACUGAUGUAAAAAUUAACAUGAUUACUUCAGCGAUAUUACAUCCCAACAGCAAGAGAACUGGCUCGCUUAGCAGGAAUACAGAGAGCUCCAAUUCUUCACCACUUUGCAGAAUCAUUAGCAGGUGCUGCAACAAUUCGUGCUUUUAAUCAAGAAGAUCGUUUUAUUGAAGCAAACCUUGACCUUAUAGACAGCCACUCAAGGCCUUGGUUUCAUAAUAUGUCAGCCAUGGAAUGGCUUUCUUUCAGAUUGAAUUUACUGUCCAAUUUUGUAUUUGCCUUCUCACUGGUCUUGCUGGUGACCCUUCCUGAAGGAAUAAUCAACCCAAGUAAGCACGUGAAUAUAUAAGCUCAGAUUGCUUUAUUUCCAUGAUAUCAAAACCGGUAUCAUGAUAUUAAAUUAUUUGUCUUCAGUGAUUAGGAUAGAAGAGCAAUCAAUGAUGUAGUAGACAGGUAAAGAAACAAGAAAGCAUGAGUUCUGAUCUAAAACUGGAUAAUUUCAUUGCAGGCAUUGCAGGAUUGGCAGUAACAUAUGGGAUAAAUUUGAAUGUUUUACAAGCUUCAGUCAUAUGGAGCAUGUGCAAUGCAGAAAACCAAAUGAUUUCUGUAGAAAGAAUUCUUCAGUACUCAAAUAUAACAAGUGAAGCACCCCUUGUGGUUGAAGAGUGCAGACCUUCAGACAACUGGCCAGAAGUAGGAACAAUAUCCUUUAAAGAUUUGGAGGUAAGAACCUUCUGGAAGGUUUUAGCAGUUUAAAGAGAGAAUUAGUUCGGAAACUGUGAUUUCUAGUCUAAAGAGUCAAGAAAUUCCAAUUAAAUCAUCAAAAUUUGAAAUUUAAUGAAAAAAGAAAUGAAAUUACAACUGCUGCUAUAAAAAAUCAGUUGUUCUCAACAGCUAAAUUUUAUUAUCAGUUAUAAAC